GACGAACGCUGGCGGCGUGCUUAACACAUGCAAGUCGAACGAUGAACCAGGAGCUUGCUCUUGGGGAUUAGUGGCGAACGGGUGAGUAACACGUGAGUAACCUGCCCUUGACUCUGGGAUAAGCGCUGGAAACGGCGUCUAAUACCGGAUAUGACCUUUGACCGCAUGGUCGAAGGUGGAAAGUUUUUCGGUCAAGGAUGGACUCGCGGCCUAUCAGUUUGUUGGUGAGGUAACGGCUCACCAAGACUACGACGGGUAGCCGGCCUGAGAGGGUGACCGGCCACACUGGGGCUGAGACACGGCCCAGACUCCUACGGGAGGCAGCAGUGGGGAAUAUUGCACAAUGGGCGCAAGCCUGAUGCAGCAACGCCGCGUGAGGGAUGACGGCCUUCGGGUUGUAAACCUCUUUUAGCAGGGAAGAAGUGGAAACAUGACGGUACCUGCAGAAAAAGCACCAGCUAACUACGUGCCAGCAGCCGCCGUAA
Molecule: ribosomal RNA, 485 nt
Filed under: uncultured bacterium
Lineage: Bacteria
Description: partial 16S ribosomal RNA
Rfam family: Bacterial small subunit ribosomal RNA
Source: RNAcentral